AACAAUUUGUUUAUGUCUGGAAUAACACAGUUUCUCAAAAAUUAUAUAAUUUUCUGUAGAUACAAAUUUUUACUGCUUUACUGAUUGAUUGGAAGAAAUAUAAAUUCUACUGCUUUACUAGAGGAAACUAUUAACAGAGAUGUCGGAGGUUUAUGUCGAGUUCCUUCGAAAACGGCGAGAUUGAGCAUGAGACGCCGCCGUUGACAGUGUCAACCAUAUGAUCUUAACUGCGUACUACUACCAAAGGCCAUUGACUGACGCACUACUAGGCCGAGGCCAUAGCGUGCAUUUAUUAUUGGGCCGAGGCCCCACAUAUACAAACACAGAUAAAACAGAUGAUCCAGAUACUGAGCAGGGAGUAUUCAUAUCUCUACUUCAUUUGCUAUCACAGUUUACCGUUAUCAGUUAUCAGUUUCAGUUCCAGUAUUUUAUUGCUUCAAUUGCUUUACAUACCAGUACAAUUCAAAUGUGCUGAUGUCCUUUUUUAUUGCUUGGGGGCCUACAUCGCAUGUUGACGACUCAACUACUUAGGGUGCACGUAUCAGCUAUUGCCAGCCAGUUGGUUCGCUCGGUCACAUGCAGUCAGGCACCGGGUGCCAUGUUACGUCCAGGCCCAGGUUCGGAGCGUGACAGAUUAUGUAGGAAGAACUGUGAUGCAAUAGAGUUGUUUGACGAUAUGCCUGAAUAUGAUGAAUAAUUUGUUUAUUCCAUUGCUUUUGCCAUGCUCGUUAUCUUAAAGAUCUAUCACCCAACAAUCCCAAAAAUACAUUACUUCUGCUAGACAGAAUCAUUGAACAAUAUACUAUGUAUCUUAUCGUUUCGUACUUUGUUAAAUUACUAUUUGUUUGAUUACAUUCAUUUUGCUUCCAUGUGCAUGUCUAUUGUGGUAUUGUUUUUGUAUUACAUUUAAAUAAACACACAAAGUGUUAGAUACACUCCCAAUUGGCGAACAAUUCCUCUUUCAUGGCCAUCAUUUUACUGUUGUUCAGUAUCAAUUACACAUAUGGUCUUAUUUCGAAACCUCUAAAGCGAUGCAUUAUGGCUAUAUUGGUUCAAACUGGUUGGGGCGGGGGUGGACAACAUUGUUUGAUGAUAUUUCCUUGAUAUUAUAUGUCAAAAUAAUCUUGUGCCUGAAUUUUUCAAAAUUCAUUUAUAUUCUUCCUGAAUCUUGGUUCAUACAAAUAGUUAACAAAAUUGAAGUUUGAAAUGAAAAGUUGGCUUCAAUGAUUGAAAAAAAGGUAGUACAAAUGAAUCACAAUUCUAUUUGUGUAUUUUGAAAAGAUUUUACGAAGUUCUUCUUAGAUUUCACACAUUUUUAGAUGUGACACUAAGACAACUACUCGGUACAUUAUUUUGCAAAGAUAUGACAAUAUGUAAUGCAAUCAUUAAAUAUAAUGGAUGUUGCACUAAUAAUAAUAUAAGUAAUUAGUUUGAAAAGAAGACGUUCGUCUAAGAGUUGAUCAGUGUCCUAAAAGUGAUAGUGAUCUAUGAAAUGGAAAAGGAGGUUCUCCAUGUAACAUAACUUAUGGUUUAACAUACACAUAAGCCAAAAUACCAUGAUAUUGAUGUAAGGGGGGAGGAACACCCGAGGGCUCUUUGGUAUGUUAAUUGCUUAUAUUGACGCUCUCAAAGAUUAUUUUCAACUGAAAAAAGACUUUUUAUUGUUCCUAUCCCAUUGUAGAACUACAUGUAUUCUAAAUAUUCAAAGCUAUGCUGGAAUAAUAGAAGUUUGGUCGUUCUCUUUCUCUGUGCAAUACUAUUUGUAGCAAAUAAUAAGCAUGAAUUAAGUGGAAAAAAACAGGCUGAGGAUGGGGGGAAAGAAAAUGUCUUAGUCACUUAUAUGGAUAGAUAAAUCACUAAAGAGCUAUCCUCUAAUUAUUCCCAAUGUUCCUGAGAUCCUUGGGUUUCUAGUAUUCUCUUGGUAAAAUUAUUCACCUUCCCAGUUUGUUUCAGUCUUACUUUUUAGUUUUGAUCCUAUUGAUGAUCAUUUUCUAUGUAUGUGCCUCAUAUAGUUGCUGGGCUAACAGUUGUCAUACA
Long non-coding RNA from Lycium barbarum (goji berry), 2037 nucleotides. RefSeq lists it as uncharacterized. The transcript has 3 exons. NCBI's taxonomy places the organism in Eukaryota, Viridiplantae, Streptophyta, Magnoliopsida, Solanales, Solanaceae. The record is from RefSeq and is a predicted model, not a curated record.